This 292-nucleotide ribosomal RNA is filed under the name uncultured bacterium. Its description in RNAcentral is "partial 16S ribosomal RNA". The record is from RNAcentral. RNAcentral also lists the same sequence under 2 other names.
GGACUACUGGGGUAUCUAAUCCCGUUUGCUCCCCUGGCUUUCGCGCCUCAGCGUCAGAAGAGGGCCAGCCGCGCGCUUUCGCCACCGGCGUUCCUUCCGAUAUCAACGCAUUUCACCGCUCCACCGGAAGUUCCCGCGGCCCCUACCUCCCUCCAGACCAGCAGUAUCCAAGGCACUUUUCCGGUUGAGCCGAAAGAUUUCACCCCGGACUUGCUGAUCCGCCUACGCGCCCUUUAAGCCCAGUGAUUCCGAACAACGUUCGCACGGUUCGUCUUACCGCGGCGGCUGGCAC